RNAcentral lists this ribosomal RNA (342 nucleotides) under Triticum aestivum (bread wheat). RNAcentral describes it as "partial small subunit ribosomal RNA". The record is from RNAcentral. Lineage: Eukaryota; Viridiplantae; Streptophyta; Magnoliopsida; Poales; Poaceae.
AUGAGUGUAUUUAAAUUGCCAUUCUCGGUAUGCGAUGAUCUAACCAAGCUUAUGAGGCAAUAUUGGUGGGGUGUUGAGAGAGGAAGAAGGAAGAUGGCUUGGGUGGCUUGGGACAAGCUCGUUCUACCAAAGGUGAAAGGUGGACUUGGUUUCAGGGGUAUGAGAGCUUUCAACCAAGCUUUGUUGGCCAAACAAGCAUGGAGGUUAGUCGUUCAACCGAACAAUCUUUGUGCACGACUGUUGAAAGCUCGAUACUAUCCUAAUGGAAGUUUAGUUGAUACAGUUUUUUCUGGGAAUUCUUCUCCGGUUUGGAAAGGGUGGCGCAUGGUCUCGAAUUUUUGA